AUCAGCAGCUGCCGUGAGCAGCCCUGGCACCGAGCAACCCGCCGCCACAUCACAUCUCCUCCCCUGCCCAGAGCUCUUCCGUGCUGCCACCACUCUGCACAGCCCCUCCGUGCCAGGCAUGAGGGGCUGCUCCUGCUCGCCCUGCACCCCGUGCGCGGAACACUCAUUAACUCCCGACCUCCAGCUCCACACGCCCGGGCUGGCGGCGCCUUCCCGGGGGGGCCGGGCCUGCAAAGCCGCCGCGGAGCAAGGGUGAGAGCCGGACGGGCCGGGCAGCGCCAUGGCAGCUCCGUGCUACCUAGGCUGGGAUUUCAGCACGCAGCAGCUGAAAGUCAUUGCUAUCGAUGAGCAGCUGAGAGUAAUUUAUGAGGAUAAUGUUCAUUUUGAUAAAGACCUUCCGGAAUUCAAGACUCAAGGUGGAGUCUAUAUUCACAGUGACAGGCUGACAGUCACUUCUCCUGUGCUAAUGUGGGUCAAGGCUCUGGAUAUGAUUUUGGAAAAGAUGAAGUCUUCAGGCUUUAACUUCUCUCAAGUCAGAGCUUUGUCUGGUGCUGGCCAGCAACAUGGGAGUGUGUACUGGAAAAAAGGAAGCAUGCAAAUUUUAAGGAAUGCAUCAGCUGAACUGCCUUUACAUCAGUCACUACAGGCUUGUUUUUCUGUCAGUAACAGCCCUAUAUGGAUGGAUUCUAGCACAGCUUCCCAGUGCAGCACUUUGGAGAAAGCCGUGGGGGGAGCACAGCACCUAGCAAGUAUCACUGGUUCUCGAGCCUAUGAGCGUUUUACAGGAAACCAGAUAGCAAAGAUUUAUGGCCAGAAUCCUGAGGUCUACAUGGAAACUGAGAGAAUCUCUUUGGUUAGUAGUUUUGCAGCUUCUCUUUUCCUAGGAGCUUAUGCACCUAUCGAUUACAGUGACGGUUCUGGUAUGAACUUGUUGCAGAUUUGGGAAAAGGUGUGGUCAGUAUCCUGCCUUGAUGCUUGUGCACCUGGAUUAAAGGAGAAACUAGGAUGCCCUGUACCAUCCCAUUCAGUGCUGGGGCCCAUUUCUCCAUAUUAUAGUCAGCGUUAUGGCUUUAGCCCUGAUUGUAAAGUGGUAGCAUUUACAGGAGACAAUCCAGCAUCAUUGGCAGGGAUGAGACUUCAAGAAGCAGAUAUUGCAAUUAGCCUUGGCACAAGUGACACAUUGUUUCUGUGGAUCCAAGAACCAACUCCUGCCUUAGAAGGUCAUAUCCUCUGCAAUCCUGUUGAUUCUCAAACAUAUAUGGCACUUUUAUGUUUUAAGAACGGCUCUCUGAUGAGAGAGAGGGUCAGAGAUGACUGUGCUUCAGGCUCCUGGGAUGAAUUCUCCAAAGCCUUAUCAUCUACUGUUGCUGGAAACAAUGGAAACUUGGGUUUCUACUUUGAUGUGAUGGAAAUUACUCCUGAAGCAGUUGGGAUUCACAGAUUCAACAAAGACAACCAAAAGGUUUCAGUCUUUCCAAAGGAGGUGGAAAUACGAGCAUUGAUUGAAGGGCAGUUCAUGGCCAAGAGGAUUCAUGCUGAAAAGCUGGGAUAUAAAGUCAAUUUCAGGGGAAAUCAUUCAGUAACACCCUGUAUCCUGUUUUGCUUAUGUGCUUAAGGGGUGGAUAGAGGAUUGAGAUCUAGAAACAAACAAGUGAAGUUUGGUCUGUCCCUGUUGUUUACAUCCUCCGAUUCAGAGAUUCAUGCAGAUAAGGUGGUAUUUUCUUCUGAUGCUAUUUCCAGCAGGUUGAAGGUAGUAAUAAUGUGUGGCGCUUUGUCUGCAGGGAAGGCAGUGUGAUGGAGCAAGGGAAGCUCAGAAAAUAUCUCUUAGUAUAAUAUGGUGUGAUUGAUUUUCAUUGUUCAUGAUGUCACACAGAAUCACAGAACCCGAAGGGGAGGCAUGGGGCUGUCAAUUCAGAGCAAAGUGUUGGUCCAUUGGAGGAUGAACUGGCUUUCCAGUUUGGCAAAGCUAGAUAGCACUGAUCCUUGGGACACUUUGGAGAUGGCUUUGUGUCAGGCUAUGAGACAGGUUUUUCUGCUGGUAGUUGUCUUUGACUGGCUUCAGUGACUGUAGUCUCCAUAGUCUUAUGAAAUAUCAAGAAUGUUGGGGUACUUGUUCCGUCGGUUGUCCUUACCUUCACCACUAAGUGUGCUUCUACUCCAGUUGUAGCAGUGUUCUGGCUGAAAACUGUGAGGCCAUUUUGUAGUUGCAUACAGAUUAAAUUGAUGUUUAUGCCCUGCGGGAUUUAAAUUUCUUGGAGAAAUCAAUACUAAAAUGUUGUGUUGGCUUCGUGCUUGUCUCUUGCUGUUUGCUGCUAAGAGUGCUGAUGUUGUUUCAGCAGCAUGAGGGUGAUGGCUUUGUUAGGGGCCUUUUGCUUCAGCAAGUGAAUGAAAACAGUUUAAAAAUAAUUAGAGGACAGAGCCCUUGGUGAGAAAUUGAAGUCCUUUGUUCACAAUAAUAACGAAUAAUGGUAUAGGUCAGAUUGGAACAUAUAUGAACAGAGAUGGGGCAGAGAGUACCGCUUGGCAUGCAAUACAAACAGACCAUAAAUAUGCCUUGCCAUUAGAUCUUGAGCCUGUAUUUUUGAGGGAGGAGUGUUGGCUUAAGAAGGACUUUCAAAUUCAUCAAAGUCAGGAUCUUCCUCCCAGAUAAGUUAGUGAUUCUGCUGCAGAGGAUAUUUGUAUUUUCUGAUGAAAGUUCCGGCUGAUAAGAGUGCCAGUGUGAGAUGGGCAAUACCUUGCCAAGAACUUGACUGUAUCCCCUCUUAUUUUCCACAAAGCAUCAGACUGCUAUCACAUAGCAGAGCCUUCCAGGCACGAUCAAGCAACGCUUGGUUUUAAGCCAGUGAUCUGGAGUGAAAGGAAACACAGUGAAGACAGAAAAUCUGAAGAGUUAAUAAAAAGAUUGGAGAAGGUGCUCUGAUCCAAAGAGAUUGUUCAUGUUAUAGAAGGGCUGGACUUGAGUCUCUUACAGUGGCCUUCAGCACAUCAGUGCUAUUCCGACUUGGAAAAUCUAAGGAGUGUAUGAAAGAACACAAGGAAAAAAGUUUGCUUGAAACUGAAAUUGUCUUCUUCCGACUGCGCUUACAGUGAUUGUACAGCAUCAGGCAGACUUAAAGUAAAACUAAACUCAGGUGUACCUGCUGAGCAUUGUACAUCAAUUACUACUCAAGUAGAAAGUGAGUUUAAAAGUGGCCGCUUCUCUACCACUUAUGUUGGUUUUAAAGUAUUUGUCUUCCGUUUGACAAUAUUUAAACUUAAGAAAUUUCUGAAAAGUGGAAAUUUGAAAUUAAAAAUAGAGUAUAUAUAUACAUACAAAGGGAGGUUUUGUGAUGUUUUUAUUUUUGAUAGUGUCUGAAAGUGAAAUACCGUAGAGGAUACCUCUACGGCAGAUAACUGAACUUGUAAAUCUUUAUCUUUAAUGUUACUAAAGUGUGACUUAACUCUCAGUGUUUCACCUCUGUGUGUGCCUAUCUCGGUUGACUCUUCUGAAAUGCGUAAUUAUUAGCUGUUUUCAGAAGUUCUGGUAGAUGGAAGUUCAGUUAUGCACGGUUUGUAGAAACCAGCUAGCAUCUUUAUAAAACAUAAACCUGUGUGCCUUUGUGUUUCCACUUUUGCAGCAACACUGAGUGGAAAGAAUGGCUGCAUUGGAAUUUGAAUGAGCUGAAUGCUCUGUCUCAAAAACUCUAUGAGAAGGUGUUUGCUGUGCGCAAACACACAGUAUUGAAUUCUUUCUUUUUACAAGGCAACAAUGUUACCCAAGAUAGCAAUUCUAAACAGUGUGUAUUCAUUACAGAAGUAGAAGCAAAUGGCAGUAUUAUUUUGGAAAACAAACUGACUUGGAAAUAUGCUCGAUUUCCUUAGCUUAAAGUUAGUAGCCAGAGUUUCAGUGUACUUAUCUAUCUAGUCAAUGUACUUCAUCAUUGAAUGCAACGUUCUUCACUUUUGUGUGUUUUCCUGUCAUGUUUUCAAUAUGUUAAGAUCACUUCUGUUACAUUUCAAAUAUUGACUUUGUUGGUAGAGGAGUUUGGAUCCUAGGGGUAUCCAUGUGCUGAAGGAAUGCAUCUGGGAACUGUAUUCCAGCACAUCCUUGGCUGACUUCUCUGUGUUUCCAGCAUUGGGUCACUCAGUUCCUUCCCUCACCAUCGCUAGUAUCUAGUACCAAACAGGUAAAUCUCAGUAUUUAUCUGUACAUAGCUAUUUCCAUGUGUGCAUCUCAAGAAGUAAUUAUGGAGAGCUGGAGGGCACUCAGCAUUGUUUCAAACUGGCAAAGUAUUUCUGUGCUGUCGGUGGCCAACUAAAACCUACAAAACAGCAGAAAAUAAUAUAUAUUGGCCUGUGUAGCAGCAGCACUGUGAGUAGCAUUGGAAUUAAAGUGGUCACAGAGCUGGAGGGAUGAUGAACGAUAUUUUCAAAAGCAUUCACUCUCUUCACUCAAGGUGCUCUUGAUCUUUUCCCUCUGUGUUUAUUCUGGUCAAAAAUGAACUUUUUGUUAUUUUGAAGUGGUUCUAAUUAUAAUGGUUAUACAAAUGUACAAGUGGAGAGCUUCAUGAGUAAUCUCUUCAAAUUAAGUGCACUUCUAGUAAAGUGAUUUAAGUUUACCUGCAAGUGAACACUUGUGCUGGAGAGUGAUACAAAGCUUCAUAUAUCAUAUCUGAUUUUUGUCUGUGAACAUAAAAGCCUGGUACCCACUGAAAUGCAGGUGAACAUCUGAAGCCAUUGUUUUUAAGUAUGAUAUGUUAGAAUAAAAAAUUGCUGGCAAACGCUCAG
Molecule: RNA transcript, 4767 nt
Organism: Pezoporus flaviventris
Lineage: Eukaryota; Metazoa; Chordata; Aves; Psittaciformes; Psittacidae
Gene: XYLB
Gene name: xylulokinase
Exons: 20
Source: RefSeq, a predicted model, not a curated record